Molecule: ribosomal RNA, 468 nt
Filed under: uncultured bacterium
Lineage: Bacteria
Description: partial 16S ribosomal RNA
Rfam family: Bacterial small subunit ribosomal RNA
Source: RNAcentral
GACGAACGCUGGCGGCGUGCUUAACACAUGCAAGUCGAACGGAAAGGCCCUGCUUUUGUGGGGUGCUCGAGUGGCGAACGGGUGAGUAACACGUGAGUAACCUGCCCUUGACUUUGGGAUAACUUCAGGAAACUGGGGCUAAUACCGGAUAGGAGCUCCUGCUGCAUGGUGGGGGUUGGAAAGUUUCGGCGGUUGGGGAUGGACUCGCGGCUUAUCGGCUUGUUGGUGGGGUAGUGGCUUACCAAGGCUUUGACGGGUCGCCGGCCUGAGAGGGUGACCGGCCACAUUGGGACUGAGAGACGGCCCAGACUCCUACGGGAGGCAGCAGUGGGGAAUAUUGCACAAUGGGCGGAAGCCUGAUGCAGCAACGCCGCGUGCGGGAUGACGGCCUUCGGGUUGUAAACCGCUUUCGCCUGUGACGAAGCGUGAGUGGCGGUAAUGGGUAAAGAAGCACCGGCUAACUACGUG